GCCUGGUUAGCUCAGUCGGUAGAGCGUGUGGCUUUUAGUGACCCUCCCUGUAGGGUCAAAGAAAACCUCAAAGUCACGGGUUCGAGCCCCGUAUCAGGCU
This is a non-coding RNA of Kalaharituber pfeilii, 100 nucleotides long. The record is from the annotation of a GenBank genome assembly. NCBI's taxonomy places the organism in Eukaryota, Fungi, Ascomycota, Pezizomycetes, Pezizales, Pezizaceae.